Molecule: ribosomal RNA, 467 nt
Filed under: uncultured bacterium
Lineage: Bacteria
Description: partial 16S ribosomal RNA
Rfam family: Bacterial small subunit ribosomal RNA
Source: RNAcentral
GGCGAACGCUGGCGGCGUGCUUAACACAUGCAAGUCGAACGGAAAGGCCCUGCUUUUGUGGGGUGCUCGAGUGGCGAACGGGUGAGUAACACGUGAGUAACCUGCCCUUGACUUUGGGAUAACUUCAGGAAACUGGGGCUAAUACCGGAUAGGAGCUCCUGCUGCAUGGUGGGGGUUGGAAAGUUUCGGCGGUUGGGGAUGGACUCGCGGCUUAUCAGCUUGUUGGUGGGGUAGUGGCUUACCAAGGCUUUGACGGGUAGCCGGCCUGAGAGGGUGACCGGCCACAUUGGGACUGAGAGACGGCCCAGACUCCUACGGGAGGCAGCAGUGGGGAAUAUUGCACAAUGGGCGGAAGCCUGAUGCAGCAACGCCGCGUGCGGGAUGACGGCCUUCGGGUUGUAAACCGCUUUCGCCUGUGACGAAGCGUGAGUGACGGUAAUGGGUAAAGAAGCACCGGCUAACUACGU